UGGGGAAUUUUGCGCAAUGGACGAAAGUCUGACGCAGCAACGCCGCGUGGGUGAUGAAGGUCUUCGGACUGUAAAACCCUGUCGUCAGGGACGAAGGUGUGCAUGUUAAUAGCGUGUGCACUUGACGGUACCUGGAGAGGAAGCCCCGGCUAACUCUGUGCCAGCAGCCGCGGUAAUACAGAGGGGGCAAGCGUUAUUCGGAAUUAUUGGGCGUAAAGAGCGUGUAGGCGGCUGGAUUAGUCAGAUGUGAAAGCCCUGGGCUUAACCCAGGAAGUGCAUUUGAAACUGUCCGGCUUGAGUAAGGGAGAGGAAAGUGGAAUUCCUGGUGUAGAGGUGAAAUUCGUAGAUAUCGUGAGGAAGACCAGUGGCGAAGGCGAAUCUCUGGGCAUUACCUGACGCUCAUGCACGAAGGCCAGGGGAGCAAACGGG
RNAcentral lists this ribosomal RNA (429 nucleotides) under uncultured bacterium. RNAcentral's name for it is "bacterial SSU rRNA". It matches the Rfam family "Bacterial small subunit ribosomal RNA", at positions 355 to 776 of the family's 1533-position model. The record is from RNAcentral.